GCUGUUCUAACCUCCAGACCUGAGGGCGACUUCAAGGUGAACAACCUAAGGAGACGAGGCCAGAGUGUUUGUGACCAUCAAGACGCUGACGAGGCCAGCAAAGUCUGUGUCCAACAGAGUGUGAAGGAAACAGAGCAGCAGUGGAGGAAGGUUCUAGAAUCGGCCAAACAACUUCAAUCUGCAGCAGAAGCUGAGAUUUCUCAGAAUAGAGAAAGAACAAUGUUAGAGUGGAGAGAAUUUGACACCAAUAUGGAAGACACUGAGCAUUGGCUGGAGGAUUUUCUUCAACAGCUGGGCUCUGUGAGCAGCCGAGCUAAAGCUGAGGACAGACUGCGUGCAGCACAGGCCAUUGUGAACUCAGAGUCUGAAACCGAAUCCAGGCUCCAGAGGCUCGGAGCGCAGGUUCACAGUGUGUGCCGCCAGGACCUGGAGGAGCACAAGAAACAAGAAGUCAAACAGAAGGUAAAAGACAUGGAGGAGAGGUGGACCAGAAUCCUGGAAGCUGCCAAACAAGCCCUGAGUCAGGCGGAGAGCCGAUGCGCUCUUGAGCAUCAGCUGGAGGACCUCCAGACCCUGAGAGAAGACUUCAGGAAGUGGCUGGAGGAAAAGCAGCACAACUUCCUGCUCCAGGGCAGGCUGACUAAUCCAGAACAGAGCCUCAACAACGCAAAGGAUUUGCUGAGCUGCAAACCUGAUGGGGACUCCAAGCUGAUGGUGCUCAGGAGGCAAUGCCAGAGCUUCCUUGACCGGGAGGGGUUGGAGGAGCAGGAGAGGCGAGACGCUCUUGAGAUGCUGCAGGACUCAGAGGAGCGAUGGAAAACUGUGCUAGAGGCUGCUGAGAACUCUCUGCGCCGAGUUGAGGUUCGAUAUUCGCUGUCCAGGGAGCUGGAGGCUUUCUGCACGCAUGCAGGCAGCACUGAGAGCUGGAUUGACAGCCUGCAGAAACAAGUCGACUCCAUGAGGGGGGGCACUCAGGGCACCAGAGCUCAGAUUGAGGAACGGUUAAACGUUGCACAGAUCGUCCUGGGCUCCAGGUCCCAGGGAGACGCUCAGGUGACAGAGCUAAAGAGGAGAGCGCAGAGUCUCUAUGAAUACGAGGAGCUGGAGGAGGACAGAAGGGCGGAGGUGCAGCAGAGGGUGGGGGACAUGGAGGAGCACUGGAGGACACUUGUCCAGAAUGCAGAGGAGACGCAGAGACAGCUGCAGGGUCUGGUGGACCGCCUGGUGUCCUGUCAGUACAAGCGAGGACAGGCGGCGACCCGUCUGGCUGAGCUGCAGAAGCAGGUGUCCAACCUGCGGUGCCUCUUCCCCUGGCCAGGCCUGGGGGAGCGAAGGCAGGCUGUGGACCAGGCCCGUGCCCUGCUGGAGCAAAGCGCCGCCGUGGCGCCACUUCUGUCUGCUGUGCGCACCCAGGCUGCUGAGCUGCUGGAAAUCACAAAGGAUCAAAGCUGGGCAGAUCCCUGCUGGACAGUUGAGGGCGGAGCCAUCGCUGCUCUGCAGAGCGAGCUCAAUGACGUGGUGUCCCAGCAAGAGUGUGGCAUCGUGGUGGAGCGGCAGUGCACCCUGCUAUUGGAGCAGCACCAAGCAGCCCAGGUUUGGCUGAGGGAGCAGGUCAAAGGGCUGGGACCCCCCCCAGCAGACCGACAGGGUCUGCACAACGCUGUCAACAAUCUAAAGGCUUUGGUCCAGACUGUCACCAGAGAGCAGAGGGAGAUGAAGGAGCUGGACUCUGCCAGAGACAGUUUGCUGAGGCACUGCACCCCUGCAGGCCAGGAUGCUCUGAACCUGGAGGUCAGCCAGCUCUAUGACCUCCAUGCUGGCUCUGAGAGGGAGGUGAGGGAGCGGCUGGCUGCCUGUGAGCUCCGGCUGGAGGAGAGUGACCGUGAGCUGGCCAGGAUGGCCGGGGAGCUGAGGGAGAGAGCAGCAGCCCUGCAGUGGGAGCUGCGCUCCCUGGACCAGGCGCUCAGCUACAGUGAACCACAGAACAAUAUUGUUCAGCUGCAGCAGCACUGGCACAGCCUACAGGUGAUUGCUGCCGCUUUGCUCCUAUCAUACCUUCCUUCUGCAUCAAAUCGGUUUGAAAGCUGUGGGAUUUGGACUCAGAACCUUCUCAGUUUUUCUGUUCACUUCAGAAACGUUUGUGAGCUCAGUCAGAGAACCUCUCAAGAUAAAAUC
Oryzias sinensis (Chinese medaka) is the source of this 2175-nucleotide long non-coding RNA. NCBI's taxonomy places the organism in Eukaryota, Metazoa, Chordata, Actinopteri, Beloniformes, Adrianichthyidae. The record is from Ensembl.